This 253-nucleotide ribosomal RNA is filed under the name uncultured bacterium. Its description in RNAcentral is "partial 16S ribosomal RNA". It matches the Rfam family "Bacterial small subunit ribosomal RNA", at positions 524 to 776 of the family's 1533-position model. The record is from RNAcentral.
UACGUAGGUGGCAAGCGUUGUCCGGAUUUAUUGGGUUUAAAGGGUGCGUAGGCGGCUUAUUAAGUCAGUGGUGAAAUACUCUAGCUCAACUAGAGGGGUGCCAUUGAUACUGAUGAGCUUGAGUACAGAUGAGGUAGGCGGAAUUGACGGUGUAGCGGUGAAAUGCUUAGAUAUCGUCAAGAACACCUAUAGCGAAGGCAGCUUACUAGGCUGUAACUGACGCUGAGGCACGAAAGUGUUGGGAUCAAACAGG